This 374-nucleotide ribosomal RNA is filed under the name uncultured bacterium. Its description in RNAcentral is "bacterial SSU rRNA". It matches the Rfam family "Bacterial small subunit ribosomal RNA", at positions 509 to 881 of the family's 1533-position model. The record is from RNAcentral.
CAGCAGCCGCGGUAAUACGUAGGGUGCAAGCGUUGUCCGGAAUNACUGGGCGUAAAGAGUUCGUAGGCGGUUUGUCGCGUCGUUUGUGAAAACCAGCAGCUCAACUGCUGGCUUGCAGGCGAUACGGGCAGACUUGAGUACUGCAGGGGAGACUGGAAUUCCUGGUGUAGGGGUGAAAUGCGCAGAUANCAGGAGGAACACCGGUGGCGAAGGCGGGUCUCUGGGCAGUAACUGACGCUGAGGAACGAAAGCGUGGGUAGCGAACAGGAUUAGAUACCCUGGUAGUCCACGCCGUAAACGGUGGGCGCUAGGUGUGGGUUCCUUCCACGGAAUCCGUGCCGUAGCUAACGCAUUAAGCGCCCCGCCUGGGGAGU